GAUGAAGAACGCAGCGAAAUGCGAUAAGUAAUGUGAAUUGCAGAAUUCAGUGAAUCAUCGAAUCUUUGAACGCACAUUGCGCCCGCCAGUAUUCUGGCGAGCAUGCCUGUUCGAGCGUCAUUUCAACCAUCAAGCCCCAGGCUUGUGUUGGAGCCCUGCGGCUGCCGCAGCCUCCCAAAACCAGUGGCGGGCUCGCUAGUCACACCGAGCGCAGUAGCACAUCUCGCUCAGGGCGUGCGGCGGGCUCCUGCCGUGAAACCCCCCACUGUAACCCCAAAGGUUGACCUCGGAUCAGGUAGGAAUACCCGCUGAACUUAAGCAUAUCAAUAAGCGGAGGA
Molecule: unclassified non-coding RNA, 338 nt
Filed under: soil metagenome
Description: partial contains 5.8S ribosomal RNA, internal transcribed spacer 2, and large subunit ribosomal RNA
Rfam family: 5.8S ribosomal RNA (bases 1-120)
Source: RNAcentral